ACGUACACUCCUGCGGGAGGCAGCAGUGGGGAAUUUUGGACAAUGGGGGCAACCCUGAUCCAGCAAUGCCGCGUGAGUGAAGAAGGCCUUCGGGUUGUAAAGCUCUUUUGUCAGGGAAGAAACGGUGGUGGCGAAUAACUACUACUAAUGACGGUACCUGAAGAAUAAGCACCGGCUAACUACGUGCCAGCAGCCGCGGCAAUACGUAGGGUGCAAGCGUUAAUCGGAAUUACUGGGCGUAAAGCGUGCGCAGGCGGUUGUGUAAGUCAGAUGUGAAAUCCCCGGGCUCAACCUGGGAAUUGCAUUUGAGACUGCACGGCUAGAGUGUGUCAGAGGGGGGUAGAAUUCCACGUGUAGCAGUGAAAUGCGUAGAUAUGUGGAGGAAUACCGAUGGCGAAGGCAGCCCCCUGGGAUAACACUGACGUUCAUGCACGAAAGCGUGGGGAGCAAACAGGAUUAGAAACCCUUGUAGUCCC
This 476-nucleotide ribosomal RNA is filed under the name uncultured organism. RNAcentral describes it as "partial 16S ribosomal RNA". It matches the Rfam family "Bacterial small subunit ribosomal RNA", at positions 329 to 797 of the family's 1533-position model. The record is from RNAcentral.